Molecule: ribosomal RNA, 30 nt
Filed under: Tulasnella sp. FB1a
Lineage: Eukaryota; Fungi; Basidiomycota; Agaricomycetes; Cantharellales; Tulasnellaceae
Description: Epulorhiza sp. FB1a partial 18S ribosomal RNA
Source: RNAcentral
CCCGUAGGUGAACCUGCGGAAGGAUCAUAG